RNAcentral lists this ribosomal RNA (253 nucleotides) under uncultured bacterium. Its description in RNAcentral is "partial 16S ribosomal RNA". It matches the Rfam family "Bacterial small subunit ribosomal RNA", at positions 524 to 776 of the family's 1533-position model. The record is from RNAcentral.
UACGAAGGGGGCUAGCGUUGUUCGGAAUCACUGGGCGUAAAGCGCACGCAGGCGGAUCGUUAAGUCAGGGGUGAAAUGCCGAGGCUCAACCUCGGAACUGCCUUUGAUACUGGCGACCUUGAGUCCGGGAGAGGUGAGUGGAACUCCUGGUGUAGCGGUGGAAUGCGCAGAUAUCAGGAAGAACACCAACGGCGAAGGCAGCUCGCUGGGACGGUACUGACGCUGAGACGCGAAAGCGUGGGGAGCGAACAGG